GAAAAAAUGAGCUACUUUAAUGUGUAUUGCUUCAUCCACUUCCUGUGCAGAUUGUCAUCUCUGUUUGAGUGCCACUAAACCAUUAGCCUCUGGCCAAUGAAGACUAAUAACCUACCACCCAGGGAAGUAGAGGGAUACUCAAAACGGGCCUGGAUAGUUGCAGACAAGUGAGGUCUUUCCAGGUACUCACUUUCCAAUAUUCUGCCAGGUCAGCUCUGCUCAGAUCUUUUUUUCUGGAUGAAGAUGGCAUUUUGUGUCCAAA
Sarcophilus harrisii (Tasmanian devil) is the source of this 262-nucleotide long non-coding RNA. RefSeq lists it as uncharacterized. NCBI's taxonomy places the organism in Eukaryota, Metazoa, Chordata, Mammalia, Dasyuromorphia, Dasyuridae. The transcript has 3 exons. The record is from RefSeq and is a predicted model, not a curated record.